UAUUGGGCGUAAGCGCGCGCAGGCGGUUUCUUAAGUCUGAUGUGAAAGCCCCCGGCUCAACCGGGGAGGGUCAUUGGAAACUGGGGAACUUGAGUGCAGAAGAGGAGAGUGGAAUUCCACGUGUAGCGGUGAAAUGCGUAGAGAUGUGGAGGAACACCAGUGGCGAAGGCGACUCUCUGGUCUGUAACUGACGCUGAGGCGCGAAAGCGUGGGGAGCGAACAGGAUUAGAUACCCUGGUAGUCCACGCCGUAAACGAUGAGUGCUAAGUGUUAGAGGGUUUCCGCCCUUUAGUGCUGCAGCAAACGCAUUAAGCACUCCGCCUGGGGAGUACGGUCGCAAGACUGAAACUCAAAGGAAUUGACGGGGGCCCGCACAAGCGGUGGAGCAUGUGGUUUAAUUCGAAGCAACGCGAAGAACCUUACCAGGUCUUGACAUCCUCUGACACCCCUAGAGAUAGGGCUUCCCCUUCGGGGGCAGAGUGACAGGUGGUGCAUGGUUGUCGUCAGCUCGUGUCGUGAGAUGUUGGGUUAAGUCCCGCAACGAGCGCAACCCUUGAUCUUAGUUGCCAGCAUUCAGUUGGGCACUCUAAGGUGACUGCCGGUGACAAACCGGAGGAAGGUGGGGAUGACGUCAAAUCAUCAUGCCCCUUAUGACCUGGGCUACACACGUGCUACAAUGGACAGAACAAAGGGCAGCGAAGCCGCGAGGCUCAGCCAAUCCCACAAAUCUGUUCUCAGUUCGGAUCGCAGUCUGCAACUCGACUGCGUGAAGCUGGAAUCG
RNAcentral lists this ribosomal RNA (781 nucleotides) under Bacillus sp. HKG 112. RNAcentral describes it as "bacterial SSU rRNA". It matches the Rfam family "Bacterial small subunit ribosomal RNA", at positions 552 to 1334 of the family's 1533-position model. The record is from RNAcentral. Lineage: Bacteria; Bacillati; Bacillota; Bacilli; Caryophanales; Bacillaceae.